This 74-nucleotide transfer RNA is filed under the name Stegodyphus mimosarum. It matches the Rfam family "tRNA". From Rfam's summary of the family: Transfer RNA (tRNA) molecules are approximately 80 nucleotides in length. Their secondary structure includes four short double-helical elements and three loops (D, anti-codon, and T loops). Lineage: Eukaryota; Metazoa; Arthropoda; Arachnida; Araneae; Eresidae. The record is from Rfam by way of RNAcentral.
GCCUUAGUGGUCUAAUGGUUAAGCACACUUGGUCCGCAUUCGAGAGGUCCGUGGUUCGAGUCCCGGCAAAGGCG